AUCUGACCAGAGCUAGAAUUAGAUUCCCAGAUUGCAACUCAAACCAACUGAAUCCAGCAAACACAGUCAAGUGAGACAGACGGUGGGGCCAGCUGUCGUGGUCCAACGCUCACCUCAAAGCUCCACCGCUAACCUCCACCACAACUUCAAACGCUCCGCUUUCAAAAUGUUAAUUCAAUCCAUCCAUCCUUCCGCUGCUAAAAAAUUUACCCCAGGACCUAUAAGAAAAAACUCGAAUUUAAUUCGAUAACAAAAAACUCGACUCGAUUCGUUUACGGCCUCGUAAUACAAUGGCAACGACUUUCCUGCCACUCUCUUUCAACAAGCCCUCCCUUUCCUUCCUCAGAACUCCACCACUUCUAUUUUCCUCUUCAACUGUACGGACCUCCGUUUCAGUUUCCUGUUCCGUCAAUCACGCCGGUGCUGACAACGAAAGCACCGCAGUUGUAUGGUACAAACAAGACCUCCGCAUCGACGAUCAUCCCGGCCUCGUCUCCGCUUCGCGUCACCGGAAUUUAAUUCCUCUCUACGUGUUUGAUCACCGCGUUCUUUCUCGGUAUUCUGAAGAAAUGUUUGAACUGCUAGUCUUUGCUGUGAAGGAUUUAAAAAAGUCAUUGAGGGAUCAGGGAUCUGAUCUGAUGAUAAGGAUCGGGAGUGCUGAAAAUGUCAUACAAGAACUUGUAAAAGAGGUUAAGGCCACCCAUAUAUUCACAGAAGAAGAGGUAGAAUAUGAGUGGGCAAGAUUGAUGGAGACUGUCAAAGAGAACCUAGCAGCAUUGUCUGUCGAAGAGGGUAGCCCAAAUUUUUUAACGUGGUCUACUCCUUUUUAUGAUAUUAAGAAUGUAGGGGAUCUGCCAAUUUCACACCAAGACUUUGAGAAAUUAAAAUUGCCAGUACUUUCUCCUCUCUUGCCCCCUAAAUUACCUGAGGUUAAGAUGAAUAUAUGCUGGGGUACAUUGCCAACAUUAGAAGAUUUGGAAAGUUUUAAGAAUGAGCUUGUGAACAAACCAGAAGAUGAAUUUAUGUCGAUUAAGAAAACUUCAGCUGAAGAUAUAUUAAGGAAAGCUGAGGCUCUUUCAAAUAAUCAAAUUAAAGAUUCGUUGAGUAGUUCUUACAAGCAAGAUAAUCGCAGGAAACGAAGAAAUUCUGUAUUUUUAACACAAGGGAGUUCAGUAGGAGGUGGAACUGCUGAUGUACUGAAUGCAUUGGCUGCAUAUUUGAGAUACUUGGAGGGUACCAUACGAGAUGACUGGCAGGAAGUACAUGAAAAGUUGCGUGAAGCUGAAAUCCGGGAAGGGGCUUCAUUUGAUGUUCUUUUUGGGUCUGCCCUUUGCCUUGGAAUCAUUUCCAGACGGAGAGUUUAUUUUGAAUCCAUCAAAUACGAGAAAGAACGAAAUGCUGGGUUCCUGUCACCCUUUGGAUACUCAGCCGCGACUGUUGCAGCAGCAGUUGACAGUGUUUGUUCAAAGGAGUGGUAUUGGCUAGUGGCUCUAAGAAGCAGACUGAUUAACAAAGGAAAUCACAAUAUUAGGAUCUGGAGAUGGAAUGGUUAUCUAAUUCAGUAUACUGUAGCCGGGCAUAAAGGUCCUGCAAUUCUUCUUGUGCAUGGUUUUGGUGCUUUUUGGGAGCAUUACCGUGACAAUGUAACCAGUAUAGCUGGCGACAAAAACCGGGUUUGGGCAAUUACCCUUCUGGGUUUUGGCAGAUCAGAAAAACCAAAUGUUGUAUACACUGAACUGAUGUGGGCCGAAUUGGUAAGAGAUUUUAUAGUUGAAGUUGUUGGGGAACAAGUGCAUCUUGUUGGAAACUCGCUUGGGGGCUAUUUUGUUGCUAUUAUAGCUGGUCUAUGGCCUGCAUUAGUGAAGUCAGUUAUUCUUUUAAACAGUGCCGGCUUUGUCAUUCCUGGGUUUUCUUCUAUGACUUCUUCCAAAGAAAGACAAGUUUCUGGGGCUGUAUGGUUGGGUGCCAGAGUUCUGCUUCUCUACCUGAGGUCAAGUAUCCGCAGUAUAGUGAAGAAAUGCUACCCAAAUAACCCGGAUCGUGCUGAUGAUUGGCUUAUUAACGAAAUGACUACAGCUUCAUAUGAUCCUGGUGUGGUCAGGGUCCUAGAAAGCAUCUUCAGCUUUGAUCUAUCAAUUCCUUUGAACUAUCUUUUGAAAGGAAUGGAGAAAAGAGUCCUUGUUAUACAGGGAAUGAAUGAUCCAAUUUCGGACUCCAAAUCAUUUUUAGCUAUGCUUACAGAACAGUGCAGAGGAAUAACAACCAAAGAAAUAGAUGCUGGGCACUGCCCACACGAUGAGCAGCCAGGAGAGGUUAAUUCUAUUAUCCUGGAAUGGGUUGUUAAAAUUGAAGAUGAUAGUUAUUCUACUCAGGUACAACUUGAAUUCACGAACAACUGAACCAUGGGGACCUUCUGCAACCCCAGGAUAUGAUGAAGUGAGAUUCUUGGUCUCUCUCAAUAUCUCUCUUGAUUUGAUUAAGUACAAGGAAAACACAAUGAAGAGGUUAUCUAGUCUGGGUUGGGAAUCCGACGGUUUAGCAAUGCAGAAAGCCCUCGUCGAGUCGAGCCUUUAGUUGCAUAGAAGGAAAGAAUAAUGAUUGUAGCCACUGUAAUUCUGGCUUACUCUGUAAGGUGCAGAAUAUAACAUUCCGUGGGACUGGUGCAUUCUUAACCUUGUAUAGUUAUGGUUUUGUGCCAGACCACGCAAUGCACGUCUCCCUCAACUUAAAGCUCUGGCCAUAUCUGUGGCCCCUCUAACAUGUGAUAUGCUUUCAAUCUUCGUAUGCUGUAUAUAUGUAUAUACUUCUCUAAUCUUUCACCUUCAUCUCUCAUUAGCAACUGCUGCCGACAUGACCAGAUCGUACUACCUCGUCCCCUUCUUUCUCCUCCUCGCCUUCUAUUCUGAGGCAGCUUCCUCUCCUAUACCAGCUAACAUUGGCUUCAUCAAGUCCUCAUGCAACGCUACAGCUUAUCCUGACCUGUGCAUUAGUUCGCUCUCCCUCUAUGCCACAACCAUUCAAAACAGUCCGCACCAAAUGGCCGUGAUGGCCUUGGAGGUGAGUCUGAACCGGACCAAGUUAGCUCAAACCUUCAUGCAUCUGCUCACCAAGUUCAAGGGUCUUACAGCUAAACAACAAGAGGCUAUCGCGGAUUGCAAAGACGAGGUCGAAGAUAGCUUGGAUCGGGUGAACAGGUCCUCCAUAGAGAUGAAGAGUCUAGGUCAGGCCGGUGGUCAGGAGUUCAUUUGGCACAUGAGCAAUGUCGAGACAUGGAUCAGUGCUGCCCUCACCGAUGAUACUACUUGUAUGGAUGGGUUUUCGGAUCUGGCUACAGAGGGAAAAAUAAAGGAAUCAGUUAGGGCACAAAUAACUAGUGUUGCGCAUUAUACCAGCAAUGCUCUGGCCUUGAUCAAUAGUUUUGCUGCAAUGCAGAAGCACUAAAAGUAUAACCAAAUGAGUACUAUAUACUAUGUCUAUGUCCAAGGACUAAGGAUUGUGCAAGUUCAUAUAGAGCACUUUUUUCUUUUUAUGUUACGUUUGUAAGAUAAAAUGUUGUAAACUUGUUUAUGAUUACUUGAAUAAAACUAUUUGUCUGUCUAA
RNA transcript from Daucus carota subsp. sativus, 3600 nucleotides. RefSeq lists it as uncharacterized. The record is from RefSeq and is a predicted model, not a curated record. The transcript is spliced from 15 exons. NCBI's taxonomy places the organism in Eukaryota, Viridiplantae, Streptophyta, Magnoliopsida, Apiales, Apiaceae.